RNAcentral lists this ribosomal RNA (991 nucleotides) under uncultured bacterium. RNAcentral describes it as "bacterial SSU rRNA". It matches the Rfam family "Bacterial small subunit ribosomal RNA", at positions 8 to 978 of the family's 1533-position model. The record is from RNAcentral.
AGAGUUUGAUCAUGGCUCAGAACGAACGCUGGCGGCGUGGAUAAGACAUGCAAGUCGAACGCUGAUUUCCGGGUAGCAAUAUUCUGAAGUCGGAGUGGCGCAAGGGUGCGUAACACGUGGGUAAUCUGCCGUGAAGUUGGGGAUAACUUGCUGAAAGGCGAGCUAAUACCGAAUGUGAAAAUCGGGAGGCAUCUCUGGAUUUUCAAAGUUGGGGACCGCAAGGCCUGACGCUUCACGAUGAGCCCGCGGCCUAUCAGCUAGUUGGUGAGGUAACGGCUCACCAAGGCUAAGACGGGUAGCUGGUCUGAGAGGACGACCAGCCUCACUGGAACUGAGACACGGUCCAGACACCUACGGGUGGCAGCAGUCGAGAAUUUUUCACAAUGGGCGAGAGCCUGAUGGAGCGACGCCGCGUGGGGGAUGAAGGGCUUCGGCCCGUAAACCCCUGUCAUUUGCGAACAAACCUUUUCACCUAACACGUGGAGAGCUGAUUGUAGCGAAAGAGGAAGGGACGGCUAACUCUGUGCCAGCAGCCGCGGUAAUACAGAGGUCCCGAGCGUUGUUCGGAUUCACUGGGCGUAAAGGGUGCGUAGGUGGUCGGGUAAGUCUGAUGUGAAAUCUCCGAGCUCAACUCGGAAAUGGCAUUGGAUACUAUUCGGCUGGAGGGUUGGAGGGGGGACUGGAAUUCUCGGUGUAGCAGUGAAAUGCGUAGAUAUCGAGAGGAACACCAGUGGCGAAAGCGAGUCCCUGGACAACUCCUGACACUGAGGCACGAAAGCUAGGGGAGCAAACAGGAUUAGAUACCCUGGUAGUCCUAGCCGUAAACGGUGCAUAUUUGCUGUAAAAGGAAUCGACCCCUUUUGUGGCGAAGCUAACGCGAUAAAUAUGCCGCCUGGAAAUACGUCGCAGAUUAAACUCAAGAAUUGACGGGGCCUGCACAAGCGGUGGAGUAUGUGGCUUAAUUCGAUGCAACGCGAAGAACCUUACCUGG